Molecule: ribosomal RNA, 371 nt
Filed under: uncultured organism
Description: bacterial SSU rRNA
Rfam family: Bacterial small subunit ribosomal RNA
Source: RNAcentral
CGUAGGGGGCAAGCGUUGUCCGGAUUUAUUGGGCGUAAAGCGCGCGUAGGCGGCGCGGUAUGUCGUGCGUGAAAUCUCCCGGCUUAACUGGGAGGGCCGUGCGAAACUGCCGGGCUUGAGGUCAGAAGGGGAAAGUGGAAUUCCGGGUGUAGUGGUGGAAUACGUAGAUAUCCGGAGGAACACCAGCGGCGAAGGCGGCUUUCUGGUCUGAUACUGACGCUGAGGCGCGAAAGCGUGGGGAGCGAUCCGGAUUAGAUACCCGGGUAGUCCACGCCGUAAACGAUGAGUACUAGGUGUCGGGGGUAUCGACCCCCUCGGUGCCGGCGCUAACGCAUUAAGUACUCCGCCUGGGGACUACGGCCGCAAGGCUA